UUUUUCGAUUUCACUCGGAAAGCAGAUAAUUAGCUCUCCUCCCCUUACCCUCCUCCCCUCCUCGCUCAGCCAAUAAGACUCCCCUCGUGGGUGGACUUGAUGAGGGCGGAUGUGCUGGGAGCAGCCUCCGAGCGGAGCAGAGGCGCUGAUUGCCAUAAAAGGACUGGUAGAGCCAAUCUUUUUUCGUCCCCAGCUCCUUUCAGACCUGCUGCGGGGGCUUUUUGGAGUCCAGCAGGCGCCUUGGGGACCCGGCUCAUUCUUGAGAAGGGCGGUCUGCAAAAAGUACAGCCCAUAGUUUCUCCCAUGUCUGGUCUUUGCUGACAUCUCUUCUGAAAUAGCAAGUACUUUGAAUCUCAUCGUUCGGUGCUUGUAAGGUCAACAAACAUUCGUUAAACUCCUACUAUGUGCCAGGAAGGACCUGUGUAAGCAAGAGUAACUGGGUGCAGUCUGCCAAGACACGCUAUUGCCAAGGCUAAAAGCUUCCACGUUCAUUGGGCUGAAUGUAAAAGAAGCAUAUGCUCAUGAGAAAAGUUUCUGGGAAUUUGUAUAAGAAGCAUAUGUUCAUGUAAAGAAUCUUGCUAAUGGUUUUGGUGAGUCAUCAUAAGUCCAGUGGCAAGACAAAAAUCAGAAUGACUGGUGAUGGCCCAGGAUGUAGUGGAUGACCAUGGCAUCUUUGAUGGUUGACCAAGAUCUAAGCAGUUGCCUUCAUGGCCUACUCUGCUGGGGGAAGUCUUCACGUGUUUGGGGUAGACAUCCCCCUAACUCACCCAUGGGUUUGAGACUCAUCUGUUGGUUACCCUCAACCUCGUUUAGCCCGUUUGCUGACACAUUUAAGCGGGGGUGGCCACUGCACAUGCUACAGCUUCUUGAAGCAGCAAGUGAGAGCGCCAGGCAAACACCAGGGUGGAAGAGCGCCCCAAAAAGGGCUCAGCAAGCCCUCACACCAGAGAUGCUAGUCCAUCUUGACACCCUGUAUAUCCCAUUGGCUCACAAGGAGCGAAUGGGAGAGCCAACAUGCAAACAACCACAGACAAACAAGAUAUAAACAAAACAAAUUGGAGAUAAUCAGUA
Molecule: non-coding RNA, 1071 nt
Organism: Phascolarctos cinereus (koala)
Lineage: Eukaryota; Metazoa; Chordata; Mammalia; Diprotodontia; Phascolarctidae
Source: RefSeq, a predicted model, not a curated record